GCAUGAGGAGAGAAUUUCGCUCAUCUUGCACCAAGGGAACGUGUUGCAUGAGAAACACUUACUCUGGUUUCUCAGUCUGUUUCUUAGUGCCGGUUUGAAGUUCCUUCAGUUUUCACUG
Non-coding RNA from Vicugna pacos (alpaca), 118 nucleotides. The record is from RefSeq and is a predicted model, not a curated record. Lineage: Eukaryota; Metazoa; Chordata; Mammalia; Artiodactyla; Camelidae.